AGUGUUGGAAGUAUGUGUAGUCAUUUAUCCUCAAACAUCAGCGCUACCGUACCACUGAAAUAGUCCUGACUCAUCCUCAUCUGCCCAUACUUCACCGCAGUAGCCUACAGGACGAUACACCAAUGAAUUGACGCCUGCAGAUACUUAAAAGGCGGUAAAAAGAUUUGUGUGUCAGGAAGGCCCAGUGAAGUGAUAAGGCAGUUGGCUGUGGCGGGCUGGCGGCGGCCAUGAUGACGUCAUCGGUGGGUCCCGCCCUGCCCGGCGAGUUCGUAUUAUUCACAUUUCUCAGCUCACUUAUUUCGCCUCAUAAUCACUCCAAGGUUUGCCAUUGUCCCAACCCACACACGUGUGCCGCAGCCUGCCGCAGUCCUAACAUGGGCUCGGGGUGGUACAACUGCCUCUUGAGCCGUUGCCUCCGCUGUCGCAGGAACAGUAUAGGUAAGAAUUAGCUAAUAGGUG
This 459-nucleotide long non-coding RNA is filed under the name Portunus trituberculatus (swimming crab). RNAcentral's name for it is "uncharacterized LOC123502033, transcript variant X1". The record is from RNAcentral. Lineage: Eukaryota; Metazoa; Arthropoda; Malacostraca; Decapoda; Portunidae.